AGUGAACGCUGGCGGUAGGCCUAACACAUGCAAGUCGAACGGCAGCACAGUAAGAGCUUGCUCUUACGGGUGGCGAGUGGCGGACGGGUGAGGAAUACAUCGGAAUCUACUUUUUCGUGGGGGUUAACGUAGGGAAACUUACGCUCAUACCGCAUACGACCUACGGGUGAAAGCAGGGGAUCUUCGGACCUUGCGCGAUUGAAUGCGCCGAUGUCGGGUUAGCUAGUUGGCGGGGUAAAGGCCCACUAAGGCGACGAUCCGUAGCUGGACUGAGAGGAUGAUCAGCCACACUGGAAGUGAGACACGGUCCAGACUCCUAAGGGAGGGAGCAGUGGGGAAUAGUGGACAAUGGGCGCAAGCCUGAUCCAGCCAUACCGCGCGGGUGAAGAAGGCCUUCGGGUUGGAAAGACCGUUUGUGGGGAAAGAAAAGCAGCAGGUUAAUACCCCGCUGUUCUGACGGUACCCAAAGAAUAAGCACCGGCUAACUUCGUG
RNAcentral lists this ribosomal RNA (492 nucleotides) under uncultured bacterium. RNAcentral's name for it is "partial 16S ribosomal RNA". It matches the Rfam family "Bacterial small subunit ribosomal RNA", at positions 29 to 507 of the family's 1533-position model. The record is from RNAcentral.